UACGAGCUGUGCAAACGUUACUCGGAAUCAUUGGGCUUAAAGGGUGCGUAGGCGGCCUCGCAAGUCGGGUGUGAAAUGUCCUGGCUCAACCAGGGAAUUGCGCUCGAAACUGCGGGGCUCGAGGGAGAUAGAGGCAAGCGGAACUCAGGGUGGAGCGGUGAAAUGUGUUGAUAUCCUGGGGAACACCGGUGGCGAAAGCGGCUUGCUGGGUCUCUUCUGACGCUGAGGCACGAAAGCCAGGGGAGCGAACGGG
This 253-nucleotide ribosomal RNA is filed under the name uncultured bacterium. RNAcentral's name for it is "partial 16S ribosomal RNA". It matches the Rfam family "Bacterial small subunit ribosomal RNA", at positions 524 to 776 of the family's 1533-position model. The record is from RNAcentral.